Molecule: unclassified non-coding RNA, 254 nt
Filed under: Hevea brasiliensis (rubber tree)
Lineage: Eukaryota; Viridiplantae; Streptophyta; Magnoliopsida; Malpighiales; Euphorbiaceae
Source: RNAcentral
AAAUGGCGAAAAUGAUCCAUAUAGCGGAUCCCAACUAGUUUGGGUUAGGAUUAGUUUAGUUGUUCUAGCUCCUGCGCCAACUCACCUCCACCCCAUGGGCAUUUGACCAUGGUUGGGGUUGGAAGUGUUUCAAGAUGCAGAUUUAUCCUUAAAUGCACUUUUUAAUAUGUAUUAAACAUAGUCAAUUAAUUGUCUUUAAAAUGCAUAGUGUAGGAAGAGUUGGAUUUUGUACUAAAGCAUACAUGAGAGAUAAG